RNAcentral lists this ribosomal RNA (442 nucleotides) under Parablennius gattorugine (tompot blenny). Its description in RNAcentral is "partial small subunit ribosomal RNA". Lineage: Eukaryota; Metazoa; Chordata; Actinopteri; Blenniiformes; Blenniidae. The record is from RNAcentral.
CAAAGGCUUGGUCCUGACCUUGCUGUCAACUUUAGCCAAACUUACACAUGCAAGUCUCUGCCCUCCCGUGAGAAUGCCCUACAGUUCCUCUUCCAGGAACAAGGAGCGGGUAUCAGGCACACCUCGAGUAGCCCAUGACACCUUGCUUAGCCACGCCCCUAAGGGAUUACAGCAGUGAUAAAUAUUAAGCAAUGAGUGAAAACUUGACUUAGUUAAGGCCUAGAGGGCCGGUAAAGCCCGUGCCAGCCACCGCGGUUAUACGAGCAGCCCGAGCUGACAGCACCUCGGCGUAAAGCGUGGUUAUAAUUAAAGUAAAUUAAAGCCGAAUGUUCCCUAGACUGUUAUACGCGUUCGAGAGCUAGAAGCCCCCCUACGAAAGUAGCUUUAUACUAUUGAAUCCACGAAAGCUAAGACACAAACUGGGAUUAGAUACCCCACUAUG